Molecule: long non-coding RNA, 907 nt
Organism: Salvia splendens (bonfire salvia)
Lineage: Eukaryota; Viridiplantae; Streptophyta; Magnoliopsida; Lamiales; Lamiaceae
Exons: 2
Source: RefSeq, a predicted model, not a curated record
UACUCGUUAAUACAAGUGGUGCGAAUGAAAUGAAUUUCAAUGAGACGUAUUUAUAGAAUUUCCGGAAAAAAAAUCAAAUAAUCGAGACGUCCGCAAGGACGUCGCGGCGGACGUCCCAGGAACGCCGCCAAACUCCGGUAUCCGCAGCGGACGUCCGUAUCCGCGUCACCCUUGCACAAUGGCGGACAGGCGUCAUUGUGGCUUAAACAAAAUAAAAUAAGCAACCAAAACUCCCUUUCCCAAAAUUACUCACGCCUACCGCUUCUUUCUCUCUGUCACAUUUUUUUCAAGAAUACACCCAAUAUGAACUCAAACAAAAAAUCCGUCGGCCCUCUCAAAAUCAAAACAUAGAAUUGAAUAGAAAUUAGAGCUCCAGCGUCCCGCACCAAUCGACCGGUCACCGUCGCCGCUCCCUUCGUCGGCUCACUUGCGGCCUCGAUCCACCCCGAUUAGCCCCGUUUCCCCAUUAAAGAUUGGGAACGAAUUGGCUUGAACUAAGGAGAUUUCGGCUUCGGUUCCCUCCGCUCUCAGUUUCUGUUGUCGAACAAACUUCAAGUGUGAUUAUCAAAAUUUGAGUGUGGUGAGACGGAUUGAGUUUCGGGAUUUACCGCAGUAGGAUCGGCUCGACGACGAGAGGUUAUUAUUGCGUUGUCACAUCAUGGUACAUCCACCAAUAUAUUAAUAACUAAUUAUGUUGCAUUUGUAUGUGGCUUGUCGUCUACUUUUCUAUCAACAACUAAAUUCCCCCCAAACAUCAUAUAGUCUUGCGUGUGUUUCGAUCAUCUUUACAUCAUGUUGCAUAUUGAUAAACUUUCUUACGAAAAGACCAUUCAGAAAUUGAAUACUAACUAUACCCACAUUUUUUAAAAAAUUGUAUUCUAUAAAGUUGGAAUUAUAAACAUUAUAA